Molecule: ribosomal RNA, 329 nt
Filed under: uncultured eukaryote
Lineage: Eukaryota
Description: partial 18S ribosomal RNA
Rfam family: Eukaryotic small subunit ribosomal RNA
Source: RNAcentral
CCCUUAGAUGUCCUGGGCCGCACGCGCGCUACACUGAGUGUCUGAGAUACGAGUCUGCCUGGUCCGGCAAGGUCUAGGUAAUCGCUAAAAGACACAUCAUGCUUGGGAUAGAUUAUUGCAAAUAUUAAUCUUGAACGAGGAAUUCCUAGUAAGCGCAAGUCAACAGCUUGCGUUGAUUACGUCCCUGCCCUUUGUACACACCACCCGUCGCUACUACUGAUUGGAUGUUUAAGCGAGGUUCUCGAACUGCUAGCGACUUAGCUUCGGUGAGGUCGCAGUGUGGGAAGUGAACCUAGCUUUGGUGUCUAGAGGAAGUAAAAGUCGUAACA